AGACGAUUAGUCCAAAGAAAGACUACUAAUUUCGGCUUAGUUAAACGUGGUUCAAGUCCAUGAUCGUUUU
Molecule: transfer RNA, 70 nt
Filed under: Monopenchelys acuta (redface moray)
Lineage: Eukaryota; Metazoa; Chordata; Actinopteri; Anguilliformes; Muraenidae
Description: tRNA-Arg
Rfam family: tRNA
About the family: Transfer RNA (tRNA) molecules are approximately 80 nucleotides in length.
Source: RNAcentral